AAGAAAAAAAUGUCAUAAAUAAAGACAAAACUCUGCCAAAUUAAGAUUGCGACUACUAAAGACCUAAGGUAAGUGAGUAUUAUGAUUUUGUUAGCCUAUGUAGUUUUUUUAAUUGUUUUACAUAUUUUAGUAUAAAUAAAUGAGUAAGUGGAUAUUAUGGAUUCAUUGGCCUAGGUAGCUUUGAAGUAUUUUUUAGAUAAGUAUUUGUUAAAGUUUUACUUUGAUAUAAGUGUUACUUCACUUUUUGUUUUCGAAAUAUGAUGUUGAUACGUGUGCAUCACUCAUUAUAGAAAGAAGUUGUUCUGAAAGUACCUGCAUUAUGCUAGAUUUUAAUGUGGUUGUACAUAACCGUUUUGUGUUUAGGUGUAUUGGCAAAGUAAUAACUGUGUAC
Molecule: long non-coding RNA, 391 nt
Filed under: Carica papaya (papaya)
Lineage: Eukaryota; Viridiplantae; Streptophyta; Magnoliopsida; Brassicales; Caricaceae
Description: long non-coding RNA (CPAP_LNC015366)
Source: RNAcentral